This 467-nucleotide ribosomal RNA is filed under the name uncultured bacterium. RNAcentral's name for it is "partial 16S ribosomal RNA". It matches the Rfam family "Bacterial small subunit ribosomal RNA", at positions 28 to 507 of the family's 1533-position model. The record is from RNAcentral.
GACGAACGCUGGCGGCGUGCUUAACACAUGCAAGUCGAACGGAAAGGCCCUGCUUUUGUGGGGUGCUCGAGUGGCGAACGGGUGGGUAACACGUGAGUAACCUGCCCUUGACUUUGGGAUAACUUCAGGAAACUGGGGCUAAUACCGGAUAGGAGCUCCUGCUGCAUGGGGGGGUUGGAAAGUUUCGGCGGUUGGGGAUGGACUCGCGGCUUAUCAGCUUGUUGGUGGGGUAGUGGCUUACCAAGGCUUUGACGGGUAGCCGGCCUGAGAGGGUGACCGGCCACAUUGGGACUGAGAUACGGCCCAGACUCCUACGGGAGGCAGCAGUGGGGAAUAUUGCACAAUGGGCGGAAGCCUGAUGCAGCAACGCCGCGUGCGGGAUGACGGCCUUCGGGUUGUAAACCGCUUUCGCCUGUGACGAAGCGUGAGUGACGGUAAUGGGUAAAGAAGCACCGGCUAACUACGUG